GAAAACAUAGUUGCUGAUUUGUAUCAACCUAGCAAUGAAGAGGAACCGUACUCUUCACCAAUUGUGCAUCCUCCUGAGGACAGCAAUGCGGAACCCUCCACUGUGCAGUGUAGACAGGUGCAAUCUGAACCUCCCCGGCAAUCAAGUUCGAGUGAAAUGCAUACAAUUCGGGUUGAUUCGAAGCAUGGUGAGAGUGUGGAAUAUAUUGGUUAUGGUAGAGGCCUUUCG
RNAcentral lists this long non-coding RNA (228 nucleotides) under Prunus persica (peach). RNAcentral describes it as "long non-coding RNA (PPER_LNC001999)". The record is from RNAcentral. Lineage: Eukaryota; Viridiplantae; Streptophyta; Magnoliopsida; Rosales; Rosaceae.